This 1806-nucleotide long non-coding RNA is filed under the name Homo sapiens (human). RNAcentral describes it as "HSALNT0320701". The record is from RNAcentral. Lineage: Eukaryota; Metazoa; Chordata; Mammalia; Primates; Hominidae.
UCCUAGGUAUUUUAUUCUCUUUGAAGCAAUUGUGAAUGGGAGUUCACUCAUGAUUUGGCUCUCUGUUUGUCUGCUAUUGGUGUAUAAGAAUGCUUGUGAUUUUUGCACAUUGAUUUUGUAUCCUGAGACUUUGCUGAAGUUGCCUAUCAGCUUAAGGAGAUUUUGGCCUGAGACGAUCGGGUUUUCUAGAUAUACAAUCAUGUCAUCUGCAAACAGGGACAAUUUGACUUCCUCUUUUCCUAAUUGAAUGCCCUUUAUUUCCUUCUCCUGCCUGAUUGCCCUGGCCAGAACUUCCAACACUAUGUUGAGUAGGAGUGGUGAGAGAGGGCAUCCCUGUCUUGUGCCAGUUUUCAAAGGGAAUGCUUCCAGUUUUUGCCCAUUCAGUAUGAUAUUGGCUGUGGGUUUCUUUUAACACUUAACUCACAUAACUCAGUCCUCUGCUCAAAACCUCCCCCUAGUGAGAUGGGAAGUCCCUGACUCCUGCCCACCACCUCUCCAUACUGUCCCUUCCUACUCAUUUCCUACCUCUCUGCCCCUCCUUACCCUCCCCAGGUACCCUGGCUUCUUUGCUAGCCUGUGAACACACCAGAGCCCAGGACCUUUGCACUUGGUGUCUUCUCUGCCUUGAGCCAUCUUCUCCACAAUAAUUGCAUGAGGCCCUCACUUGAAUGACAUUGUAAUAGUAAACUCUUGCCUUCACUACAUCAUUUAAAAUCGCACCCUUCACGCCGUCACCAAUAUCCAGCACCCCGUAUCUCCUUCCUGCUUCUUUCCCUAUAGUCAUCUCACCUUUUGACAUAGUAUUUAUCAUCUCACUCCCUAUUCCCCUACCCAUUAAAAUACAAGCUCUGUGUAGGCAGGGAUUUUUGUUUGUAUUCUAUUUUAUUUUAUUUUUUUUACUGUAUCUCCACUGCCUAGUUCACAGCCUGACACUUAGUGGAUAUGUAAAUCUUUAUUGAAUGAGUAAUUGAUUGCACAACUUAGUCACUGAACAUUUCAAAUUCUUCUUGUAUAAAUAUCAUAUUGCUAAGUAGUAAUAAAUAAAACAUAAAACAGAGAAACAUAUAGAAUUUUUAUAUGUAGAAGGGGCUUGGUAGUAACAGUUUGGUUGGAAGAGGAGUAAGAAACCCCACAUUAAGUCUUCAUUUUUAUAGCAAGAACUAUGAUUUUACUUUGGUUGUAUCUGGGCUAAAUUGAGGGUGGAAAUGAUGAAAAUGGGAGAGAGAAAUAAAGUCACCUUACCAAGUUCCUCCUUGGCUCUGUUAUUUCUACAAAACAAUUGAGUUUAUCAAAAAGCCUUUUCAUAUACAUUAUUGUUAUUUCUUGAGCCUCAUAACAAUCUUCAUGGGUAGGCAUUACUAUUCACAGGUGACAGAUGGGAAUCUGGAGUUGGGAGAGGUUAAGGAGCUGUCCCAGGCUGCGUAGCUACUUGGUUCCACAGACAAUAAGAAAGGCAUUUGCAAUAGAGGACAUCUAUGUUCUUAGAUGUGAGAAUGCAUUACUAAAAUACCAAGAUAAAUGUGAAAGUACCUGUCAGAUUCUUUGUACAGAAUGGUAUUCAAUAAAAAGCCAGGUGUCUUAAACCAACCUUCUUCUGAUCUUUAUGAGCACAACACAUUGCAUAUACCAUAAGCUUUCAUUUAGGGAAACAUUCCCUUAGCAGAGCUCCAGCCAUGGUCUAAUUGCACAUUUAAUGCUCUACCUUUGCUUCCAAAAAAGCUGGAAGAAGGCAGGGCAUUAGGUGUGGCCUCCUCUGGGUUCCUACACCUACUGCCUUGUGGACAGAUGGGAGGUCACGCAAACUCC